GUCCAGACUCCUACGGGAGGCAGCAGUGGGGAAUAUUGCACAAUGGGGGAAACCCUGAUGCAGCGACGCCGCGUGAGUGAAGAAGUAUUUCGGUAUGUAAAGCUCUAUCAGCAGGAAAGAAAAUGACGGUACCUGACUAAGAAGCCCCGGCUAACUACGUGCCAGCAGCCGCGGUAAUACGUAGGGGGCAAGCGUUAUCCGGAUUUACUGGGUGUAAAGGGAGCGUAGACGGUGAAGCAAGUCUGAAGUGAAAGGCGGGGGCUCAACCCCCGGACUGCUUUGGAAACUGUUUGACUGGAGUGCAGGAGAGGUAAGUGGAAUUCCUAGUGUAGCGGUGAAAUGCGUAGAUAUUAGGAGGAACACCAGUGGCGAAGGCGGCUUACUGGACGGCAACUGACGCUGAGGCUCGAAAGCGUGGGGAGCAAACAGGAUUAGAUACCCCUGUACA
Molecule: ribosomal RNA, 448 nt
Filed under: uncultured bacterium
Lineage: Bacteria
Description: bacterial SSU rRNA
Rfam family: Bacterial small subunit ribosomal RNA
Source: RNAcentral